Molecule: long non-coding RNA, 640 nt
Organism: Saccostrea cuccullata (small rock oyster)
Lineage: Eukaryota; Metazoa; Mollusca; Bivalvia; Ostreida; Ostreidae
Exons: 5
Source: RefSeq, a predicted model, not a curated record
UUUAUUAUGGAAAUUUAUCCGUCCCGACACUGGCAGAAAUAUAGUUAAUCUGACUUCAAAAUUCCUUCCUCUGUUCCCCCAAGUACAUGUAACACUCUUCGCUCUCAUUAUUUUUUUAAUUUUCAUUGUAUAUUUUUUGUAGAAAAAAGGAAUGUGGAGCUAAUGCAUGCUGCUAAGGAUGGAAAUGUCUUGUGUUUAUUGGUUGUGCCUGAGACACCAGUCACAGUUGUACCUUAUUUCCAUUUUAGGGAGUCUAUAUACAUAUGAGGUGAGCAGCAGAUUUAAUUUUGAAGAUGGGUGACUUUCAGAUGUUGUGAUGAAGAUUGUUGAAAGGGAUUAUCAGCAUAGAACCAAUCCAUAUAAAUGUGCAAGUCAGAAAAAAGGAAUGUGGGGCUAAUGCAUGCUGCUAAGGAUGGAAAUGUCUUGUGUUUAUUGGUUGUGCCUGAGACACCAGUCACAGUUGUACCUUAUUUCCAUUUUAGGGAGUCUAUAUACAUAUGAGGACUUGUACAACACCUGAGUACCUAGAUGACUGUUGAACUAAUUGGUGAACAAGAAAAGAUGUCAGAGAGGGGAAUCCAAUACAGAUGCCAUGAUCAAGAAUAUAUACUCUUAACAAUGAUAUGAUCAAGAAUAUGUA